CAGUGAGCCAAGAUCAUGCCACUGCACUCCAGCUUGGGUGAUAGAGUGAGAUCCUGUCUUGGAAAAAAAAAAAAAUUGUCACUGCUGGUGUGGUGGGGCACCACCUGUGGUCCCAGUUGCCUGCAGAGGCUGAGGUGGUCGGAUUGCUUGAGCCUGGGAGGUCAAGGCUGCAGUAAGCUAUGAUGACACCACUGCACUCCAGCCUGGGCAUCAGAGCAAGACCCUGUCUCAAAAGAAAUUUUGUCUCAAAUUUUAAAAUAAUGUAUUAAAACAUGAAAAAAGUAACAACGGUGUCUCUGUUUUAAAUCAAGGAGAAGGACAUUGUCAUCUUCAUUAGAUUGUUUAUAUUCAGCUUGGUGUCAGACUAUUGUGAUGGACAUUCUCGGGGAAGGUGAUUUGCCGCACCACCAGGAUCUACAUCUCAUCGUGACUCUGGCCCGCAUCCCACUGAGCAACCCCAACUCCUCAUGGGAGUUCAUGGAAGCCACGGCCACCCAGCACUGCCACAGCAAGAAGGCUCAGGAGGUGCAUAACUGAUCUGCAGAUGAACCCAGCACCUACUCAGGUCUCUGUAGAUGGUCACCUUUCUUCUUGAGGAAUCGCCCCAGAACAGAGCACCAUAUUCCCCUAGGGCUGACUAUCACAUCUGUGGCUCAGUUGUCUCCAUCUGGACACUUCUCUGGAUGCAUCCUCUCUUCAGUUUUGGCUUCUAUUAAGUUUGUGUGUUAAGGAGGAACCCAAAUGGAAUCAAGGAGUGGAGCAUAAAAAUCGGUUUCUUAUGCCUCUGCACUUCACCUUUCUCCUGUUCAUCCCACUCUGCCAUCAUUGCCUGCUUGCCUCCGAAUUGCCCACGACAGUGCAGUCUGGGCACGGACCACACCUCCCAUGCAGCGGUGGCUUUGUGAUCUGUCCACCUGGGUAAGCUGAACCGCACUUCCCAGAAUUCCCUUCCCGUGUGUUUCCGGUUAGAGUGGAGCACAGAGGAGAAACUUGUGGAAGGUUUGGAGGUGGGAAGUGAAGCAGCAGUCAUUUUACAGCUCACACGAAUUGUGGCUUCUCUGCUGGCUCACCUCAGCAGAGGCAGGAACUGACACGGGGCCAGGUGCCACCGGUGGCUCAUGCCUGUAAUCCCAGCACUUUGAGAGGCCAAGGCAGGUGGAUUGCUUGAGACCGGGAGUUCAAGACCAGCCUGGGCAACAUGGCAAAACCCUUCUCUACAAAAAAUACAAACAUUAGCCAGGUGUGGUGGCUCAUGCCUGUAGUCCCAGCUACUUGGGAGGCUGAGGUGGGAGGAUUUGCUUGAGACCAGGAAGGUCAAGGCUGCAGGGAGCUGAGAUUGGGCCAUGACACUCCAUCCUGGGCAACAGAGUGAGACCCUGUCUCAAAAAAACAAAAAAGAACUGACACAGACGGAUGUGUCUGCCUUCAAGGGCUCCUGCUUGGGCUUGUCCUCCCUUACUUUACAUCCGUCUGUCCUUCCCGAUUGUCUGCAGAGCCUGCUUAAGCAG
RNAcentral lists this long non-coding RNA (1508 nucleotides) under Pan troglodytes (chimpanzee). RNAcentral describes it as "long non-coding RNA NONPTRT003798". Lineage: Eukaryota; Metazoa; Chordata; Mammalia; Primates; Hominidae. The record is from RNAcentral.